GAUUGAUAGGUGCUAGGUAGCCAGAGAACAGUGUGAAGAGCAUAAAAAGAAUGGGCAAGGCACAGCAGUAAAGAGACAGAGUGCUCUAAAUCCAAGAACUGUGCAUUAUUCUGCAUAGGUGAAGAGUAGAGUGGAUGUGGGAAGUCAUAAGGGCUGAGACUAGAGAUGUAGGCAGGGACAAGAUGAUGCAAAGUCUCAUACAACAUUCUGAGGAAGACGUUUACCCUGAAAGAGAUUUUCUGUCAACUGUCUUCAUUUUCACCGUAAGAUUGAUAAGGACAUUUCUAAUUCAUUGGGCAUAGCAUUUUACUUCAUAAAAUCUGCAGUUUAAUUUCUUUGUUAAAAAAUGAACUGCACAGCAAAAGCAUGUGAGGAUAAGGAUUUCUGAAUGCUGUCAUGCACACCCUGGUGUUCCCAGCACCGAGCCAUUAAUGCAUCACUGCUGUCCUGUGCUGGAUGAGGGAGGAGAGAGAGUUAAGAGAAGCAGCUGGCUAAGGAGAGCCCCAGGGAUGAGCUCCCAGAGACACUUACCUGGAAAGAAGAAAGCAAUAGCCUUCAUCAUGUCUAGUCCCCUCUUGGCUCCCUGCACUGAAAUCCCAGGGAUCAGCUUGUUGCUGGACAUGCCACUAACUUCUGUGUCAAUGUACACAAACCCAGCACAGUUUGCCAGGAAAGCCGCUGUCUCAAGAAUAUCAAGGAGCGGAGUCUUUCCAGACCACAACUCCUCGCUCCAGGCGUUCGAAUCUGCCUCAAACAAAAGAGGAGACAACGGCGAAGGACGCCCCCCUGCCAUCCUCCUAUCUCACCAUGGCUCCCGCCUCGCUGCAAGCAGCCCCUCAAGGCCAAACGCAGGCUGGUGGGAAAACACCGACCUGCACAAGCUACAUGCGCCCUCUCCCCUACCCAAAACCCCGAAUAAAAAUCCCUACCCAUCCCUCAUCGGGGAGCUAGAAAUUUUUGAGGCAUGAGCCCCAGCUUUGCUCCCUAUGCCUGGCAUAGUAAAAAC
RNAcentral lists this long non-coding RNA (1006 nucleotides) under Equus caballus (horse). RNAcentral describes it as "lncRNA (ENSECAG00000043016.2)". Lineage: Eukaryota; Metazoa; Chordata; Mammalia; Perissodactyla; Equidae. The record is from RNAcentral.